AUUGAACGCUGGCGGCAUGCUUUACACAUGCAAGUCGAACGGUAACAGGGAGCUUGCUCCGCUGACGAGUGGCGAACGGGUGAGUAAUGCAUCGGAACGUACCCAGUCGUGGGGGAUAACGUAGCGAAAGUUACGCUAAUACCGCAUACGUCCUGAGGGAGAAAGCGGGGGACCGAAAGGCCUCGCGCGAUUGGAGCGGCCGAUGUAGGAUUAGCUAGUUGGUAGGGUAAAGGCCUACCAAGGCGACGAUCCGUAGCGGGUCUGAGAGGAUGAUCCGCCACACUGGGACUGAGACACGGCCCAGACUCCUACGGGAGGCAGCAGUGGGGAAUUUUGGACAAUGGGCGAAAGCCUGAUCCAGCCAUGCCGCGUGAGUGAAGAAGGCCUUCGGGUUGUAAAGCUCUUUUCCUAGCCGGAAAGGAAAUACGCACAGGCUAAUAC
This 441-nucleotide ribosomal RNA is filed under the name uncultured bacterium. RNAcentral's name for it is "bacterial SSU rRNA". It matches the Rfam family "Bacterial small subunit ribosomal RNA", at positions 30 to 503 of the family's 1533-position model. The record is from RNAcentral.